GCUCCCGUAGUUUAAUGGAUAGAACGCGGGCUUGCGGAGCCCGUAAUCCAGGUUCGACUCCUGGCGGGAGCA
This 72-nucleotide transfer RNA is filed under the name Pseudomonadota bacterium. RNAcentral's name for it is "tRNA-Arg". It matches the Rfam family "tRNA". Rfam says of the family: Transfer RNA (tRNA) molecules are approximately 80 nucleotides in length. RNAcentral also lists the same sequence under 1 other name. Lineage: Bacteria; Pseudomonadati; Pseudomonadota. The record is from RNAcentral.